This 335-nucleotide unclassified non-coding RNA is filed under the name Melitaea cinxia (Glanville fritillary). Its description in RNAcentral is "misc RNA ENSMCXG00005013887.1". The record is from RNAcentral. Lineage: Eukaryota; Metazoa; Arthropoda; Insecta; Lepidoptera; Nymphalidae.
AAUUAAUACGAGAUCGAGUACAGUGUAUCCCACCGGAGCUCCACCUUUCCUCAUACGUAGGAGAGGGGCCUCUGGAAGCACCCUGGGAUACGUCUCCGUCCAUGUCGGUGGUUUCAAUGGUUAAUUGCAGAAUUGUAAGUUAGAUUGAAUAAGAAAGGGUCACAGUGCACGCACCGGCGGGUGCGGCUGUCACUGAGUGCGUGAGGAGUAGGCGCCAAAUACGGCGAAUAAGCAAGCGCUCUCGGUGCCGACUGGUCGGCGGUACUUGGGCUCGGUGGCGAGCCCGAGGCCCGAGCGUGUUGCGGGUGAGACGUGCGGGCGGCGGCGAAGGGCGC